CCCGCUGAACUUAAGCAUAUCAAUAAGCGGAGGAAAAGAAACUAACAAGGAUUCCCCUAGUAACUGCGAGUGAAGCGGGAAAGGCUCAAAUUUAAAAUCUGUCAGUCUUUGGCUGUCCGAGUUGUAAUCUAGAGAAGUGUUAUCCGCGCUGGACCGUGUACAAGUCUCCUGGAAUGGAGCGUCAUAGAGGGUGAGAAUCCCGUCUUUGACACGGACUGCCAGGGCUUUUGUGAUGCGCUCUCAAAGAGUCGAGUUGUUUGGGAAUGCAGCUCAAAAUGGGUGGUAAAUUCCAUCUAAAGCUAAAUAUUGGCGAGAGACCGAUAGCGAACAAGUACCGUGAGGGAAAGAUGAAAAGAACUUUGGAAAGAGAGUUAAACAGUACGUGAAAUUGCUGAAAGGGAAACGCUUGAAGUCAGUCGCGUCAUCCAGGGAUCAACCUUGCUUUUGCUUGGUGUACUUUCUGGUUGACGGGUCAGCAUCAAUUUUGACCAUUGGAAAAAGAUUAAGGGAAUGUGGCAUACAUAGUGAUGUGUUAUAGCCCGUGGUUGCAUACAAUGGUUGGGAUUGAGGAACUCAGCACGCCGCAAGGCCGGGUUUUUAUUAACCACGUACGUGCUUAGGAUGUUGGCAUAAUGGCUUUAAUCGACCCGUCUUGAAACACGG
This 663-nucleotide ribosomal RNA is filed under the name uncultured fungus. Its description in RNAcentral is "eukaryotic LSU rRNA". It matches the Rfam family "Eukaryotic large subunit ribosomal RNA", at positions 24 to 664 of the family's 3401-position model. Lineage: Eukaryota; Fungi. The record is from RNAcentral.